CAGUCGCCGCGGUAAUACGAAGGGGGCUAGCGUUGCUCGGAAUCACUGGGCGUAAAGGGUGCGUAGGCGGGUCUUUAAGUCAGGGGUGAAAUCCUGGAGCUCAACUCCAGAACUGCCUUUGAUACCGAAGAUCUUGAGUUCGGGAGAGGUGAGUGGAACUGCGAGUGUAGAGGUGAAAUUCGUAGAUAUUCGCAAGAACACCAGUGGCGAAGGCGGCUCACUGGCCCGAUACUGACGCUGAGGCACGAAAGCAUGGGGAGCAAACAGGAUUAGAUACCCCUGUAGUCCCUGUCUCUUAUAC
This 301-nucleotide ribosomal RNA is filed under the name uncultured bacterium. Its description in RNAcentral is "partial 16S ribosomal RNA". It matches the Rfam family "Bacterial small subunit ribosomal RNA", at positions 509 to 807 of the family's 1533-position model. The record is from RNAcentral.